This 250-nucleotide ribosomal RNA is filed under the name uncultured bacterium. RNAcentral's name for it is "partial 16S ribosomal RNA". It matches the Rfam family "Bacterial small subunit ribosomal RNA", at positions 15 to 253 of the family's 1533-position model. The record is from RNAcentral.
GAUCCUGGCUCAGGAUGAACGCUAGCUACAGGCUUAACACAUGCAAGUCGAGGGGCAGCAUGGACCCAGCUUUGCUGGGUUUGAUGGCGACCGGCGCACGGGUGAGUAACGCGUAUCCAACCUGCCCUUUACUCCGGGAUAGUCUCCUGAAAGGGAGUUUAAUACCGGAUGUGUUUGUCUUUCCGCAUGGGAGCGACAAAUAAAGAUUGAUUGGUAAAGGAUGGGGGAUGCGUCCCAUUAGCUUGUUGGG